CAGAGCACCGCCAGGUAUCUGGAAAAAAUGGACUCCUGGACUAAGCAGAAGCAUUCUAGAAGAAUACACUAUUGAAAGGAUUCAAAGCCCUGCCAGGUGCUGUGCUGAGCGCUUUCCAGAAUUAUCCUCCUGAAUCCUCACACAGCCCCGAGGGAUCAUCAUCACCUGCACAUGACAGAAGAGGACACAGAGAAGACAGUCACCUGCUUAAGGUCAUGUACUUGGAAAGUGGUGGAGCCAGGACUAGAACCCAGGUUUGUCUGGGCUCCAGGCUCCAAGCUCCAAGCUCAGGCUCUUCUCACAAGCUGUGAUCCAACCCCCAGCGGGGAGUCAGCUCGAUGAUCUGCAAGGUCUGUCCACACCAAGAACACAGCCGGGAAACUCUUUGGAGUUCCAAAAGCACCUUCGUGCCUGCCUGUCCUUUUAGUUGACUUCCCAGAAGCUGAGCUGGUGAGGUGGGCAGGGCAGAUACUGACCGACAUCUUUGUGGCCUGUGAGCGGACAAAGCCUAAAGACAUUCAGGUGGUCAUGGCCCCAAGGUCACACUCAAGUCAGCGUCGGCAUCAGAACCCAAAUGUUGGGUUCAGUCACUUUGCACAGAGCUGCCAGGGGCCAAGAUUCUGUGUUUCUCAUGGUUAGGAUCUUCCCAGCCAUCUAACUAUCUGUCUACCCAUUCACCCAUCCAAAACUAACCUACCCAAGAACCCAUCAAUACAUUGACUCCUCUACCCACCCAUCAGUUAUCCAUCCACACAUCCAUUCAUUCAUCACCAGUCAUCAUGUGCACACACAUCCAUCUCUUCCUUCCUGCUCCCCUCAUUCGAAUUGUGUAUUGAGAGCCUUGUAACUCCCUGGCCCUGAGCUGGGAGUAAGGUGAACAGUGUGCAUACCUGGAAGGAGUCACAUCUUUCCCUUUGUCAAUGGGGGUCCUGGAAGGGGCAGCUGAGGCAGGCAGUAGGCAGACUGGAGUGGGAGCUGUUGACUUGCUAUUCUUUUGGGCUCUAGGUCACAGCACCCGACUCACUGAAUUGGGCUAAAAACUUGUGGAGAAAGUGAGGAGUGAACAGUUGGGAUACAGUGUCUGUCCACAUGUUACUUAUAGACGAGAUAGCUGGCAGCGUAGGCUUCAAUAUAGAGUUUAUUUCGAGAUUUUGUGAAUGUAAGAAAUGACAUAUCUACAAGUUACUAUGUUACUAACAUAAACAAGAUUAGAAUUAAUGAACUAUAGGUACUGUAGAGUGAGGCUCCAGUAACAAUUUCUAACCUGUUUCUGUGAUUCAUCGAACCACGCAUACUGGGAAGGGAUUUAUGCACCUUUCUCGUGCAUUCUGCAUUAAUGGACAUAGGAGGUAGCAACUAAUAUGAUCAAUACUGACUGGAUCAGAACACGGGGAGAGGAAGUGAUUGCCAAGGUACAUUGUCAUCUGUGUGGCAGAGAAGUUUGUCAACCUAGGUCUUCCAACUUAUGCAUACUAGAUAAUUCUUCCUGUCCAAGAACUGAGGAAAAUUCUCAAAGUUUAUUCCUGUCUGCUUCAGAAGGUGCUUCUUUCCAUCAUAUCUGCUGAUUCUGGACUGACCUUGCCUCACGCUAAUCUGCUUUGUGUGUAGGAAGCUUUUUAUUACUCUUUGCAGAAAUUGCUUAAACUCUUGGUUUGCAAUUGCUCACUCUUCUGUUUUCAACUGCUUUCCUCUAAUCUUCCUUGCCAAAUGCCUGCUGCUAGGUAGGUAUUCACCACUCCCAGAAUACCUUCUUUCUUUUAUUAGUGGCUUAGCAACUUCCCUUCUGCUUUCUGACCCUGAGUGGAGCUGGAGCUAGAAUGGAGUAUUGUGGAUGUGAACGGGACCUGAGAUUUAGGGGAAAGAGUCCAUAUUAGUAUUGUAAUGACUCUUUCCAUAUACAUGUCCCCUGUUGUAUCACUGCCCGAGAGAAUAGCCCUCUGUCUCUCCAUUAAUGUUAUCCCAAACCCUGCACUUGGCAGGUCAUGGGCGUAGCAGGUGAGCAAGAAAUAUUUGCUGGAUGUUAAGGGUUGAAAAAAAAGACACUUCCUUAAGUGAGGAAAACCUCAUUUUUCAUAAUUAUACAAUAAAUGUAUAAUCACUGUAGAAAAUCAUAAAAGUCCAAUGUGCAAAGUGAAAACCAACCUUACCUAAAGUUUCAGCCACAGGUAGCCCCAGCUCACAGAUACAGGUAUGGAUGUAACUAUGGAUAUAGAGACAGAGACACAUGUUCACAUGUGUCACAUCUUGUCUUGUGACCUCUUUGGGAUAACAUCAUGUUCAAGACUUCAGAUGCUGUUCAAAUCUUCCAAUACGCCAUUUUUAGAGGAUCAUUGAUCUUAAUCAGUUUCUUGUUUUGUUUUCUGAUUA
Long non-coding RNA from Prionailurus viverrinus (fishing cat), 2367 nucleotides. RefSeq lists it as uncharacterized. NCBI's taxonomy places the organism in Eukaryota, Metazoa, Chordata, Mammalia, Carnivora, Felidae. The transcript has 3 exons. The record is from RefSeq and is a predicted model, not a curated record.